ACUAGGAAAAGAAAGUUUCAUGAAGAUGAACUCAAUCUCCAAAAUAAGUGCUAGGUGGAGAGUGAGACAAGUAGGCAUAAAACUCAUGCAGCUAAUUUUCUGCUGUUAAUGCUUCUUUAUUAGCUUGUGCAAAGACCAUAUUUAUGAGUAAGUAUGCAUCCAUGUGCCUAUUAUGAACUAAAUUUACAAAUAUACGAAAUGAACUUGAACAUUAUGUUAGGUGAUCACAGAUGACUGAACAAGCUAUGUAACUUUUAACUCUGCAAUGAAACCCACGAAAGCACUGUCAGAUAAGACUUCUAAUUACUUCACACCUGUUGCAACUAAUGGAUAAUCAAUUGAUAUGCAAAUACAAUUGGAAGAGAAGUAUUAGUCUUUGUGGAUGUCGAUCAUGGUUGGAACAGAUGGUCUGUAUGCAUCAUCAUCAUCAGGUUGCGAAUUCAAACUAACAUUAUCCCCAGGGUGGCGUUUCUACCCCAUUAAUCUGAAUAGAAUAGACCUGCAGUGGUACCUUCACCGUCCAGAAGCUGACGGUAAUCACAUCUUUGACUGUUAAUUCUCAGCUAAUCAGUGCUCAGCACUGCACACCUCCGAGCUUCUGCAAAAAGAUGCAAAAAGGAAACCAUUUUUUGAUUUAACCCAAAAAUGAUGCUCAAUUUCACAACAAGACCAAUGAAGCUUUAAAGCGAAACUAGAAACCAGUAAAAGCCAAGUAAAGAAGAAAAGCAUUUUAUCUUAAAACAAAGGGCCGCCUGAAGCCCUUCAUUAGGGAAGAAACCCACCCACAAGUUGGAAAUCUUAACUAGCAGUUGCCGAGUCUCAGAAACACAUUUACAGAAAAAAAUUCCAUCUUCCCUCACCGACAUGUUGGGUUUAUUA
RNAcentral lists this long non-coding RNA (879 nucleotides) under Gossypium raimondii (Peruvian cotton). RNAcentral describes it as "long non-coding RNA (GRAI_LNC005245)". Lineage: Eukaryota; Viridiplantae; Streptophyta; Magnoliopsida; Malvales; Malvaceae. The record is from RNAcentral.